AUUACUCCUACGGGAGGCAGCAGUUAGGAAUCUUGCGCAAUGGGGGAAACCCUGACGCAGCCAUGCCGCGUGAAUGAUGAAGGUCUUAGGAUUGUAAAAUUCUUUCAGCGGGGACGAUAAUGACGGUACCCGCAGAAGAAGCCCCGGCUAACUUCGUGCCAGCAGCCGCGGUAAUAAU
This 178-nucleotide ribosomal RNA is filed under the name uncultured bacterium. RNAcentral describes it as "partial 16S ribosomal RNA". It matches the Rfam family "Bacterial small subunit ribosomal RNA", at positions 332 to 526 of the family's 1533-position model. The record is from RNAcentral.